ACAGAGGUGGCGAGCGUUGUUCGGAUUUACUGGGCGUAAAGGGUGCGUAGGUGGUCAUGUAUGUCGGGUGUGUAAGCCCACGGCUCAACCGUGGAAUUGCACUCGAAACUGCAUGACUAGAGUACAGGAGGGGAGAGCGGAAUUCUUGGUGUAGCGGUGAAAUGCGUUGAUAUCAAGAAGAACACCGGUGGCGAAGGCGGCUCUCUGGAAUGUUACUGACACUGAUGCACGAAAGCUGGGGGAGCAAACAGG
This 252-nucleotide ribosomal RNA is filed under the name uncultured bacterium. RNAcentral describes it as "partial 16S ribosomal RNA". It matches the Rfam family "Bacterial small subunit ribosomal RNA", at positions 525 to 776 of the family's 1533-position model. The record is from RNAcentral.